RNAcentral lists this long non-coding RNA (3064 nucleotides) under Triticum aestivum (bread wheat). Its description in RNAcentral is "long non-coding RNA (TAES_LNC014782)". The record is from RNAcentral. Lineage: Eukaryota; Viridiplantae; Streptophyta; Magnoliopsida; Poales; Poaceae.
GGCAAUGCAGUCUAAGAGCUGGCUACUGCUAAUGUGAUUUCUGGAUUUGAGAGGAUGAGAACUUGAGAAGAACAAGCUUGAUACUACAAUUGCAAAAAAUAUAUUCUAUACUACAGGUAUUCCUUUCAGUAUUGUUGCAGCAAACCUUAGUUAGCUAAUUUUCUAUGAACUGGUUGUGAUUGAUUUCUGAACUUUAGAGCUUGUGAAUUGUAAUUUGUUGUUUCAUAGGAUCCUUGAAGGUCAAUACAAGGGUAUCCUACGAAAAUUCAUUACUUCCUAUAAUCAUACUAAUGUUUCAGAUUUUUAGUUAAGCAUUUUAGAAUUCUUGCAAACAUAGGAGUAUAUUAAAUCUUCAUCCUCUUAACUAGUUGAGAGUUGAGACACACCAUACAUAGGCUCUGCAAGCAGGCGGAAAUAGACCUCUUCGUCGAUGACUUCUACGAGGACGAUAUUGACCUAGAGGCUGGAGCUUUGCUACUCUUUCCGGCCAACAACAAGGGAUCGUUUACUUUUUCUCUCCCCACAUCCAGUCCUUCCCUGUUCCUAUCCCUCCUGCUUAUUUCUUGCUAUAGGGCAACAUAAUGCAAGUGUUUGUUAAAUUGUUGGUCUCAAUGCUCCAUUCUAGCAGAAGGAUUUUCGGUAGGAAGACAUAGCAUCAAUCAAGGAUUUUCGGGUGGAAGACAUAGCAUCACUCAUGGUUGUAUAGAUUUACUGUUGUAUUUCUGUAUUUUUGCAAAACUAGUUCAGUAAAGCUUGUAGCUUAUUUCAGUUCUUAAGUGGUUUUACACUUAGGCUUGUAUUGACUUACUACUUAUUUUUUCCAUAAUUUUGCAACACUAGUUCUGUAGUACAUAGUACAAUUUUUUAUGGAAUCAAGUCAAAAUACAUGUAUAUCUAGCCGUUUGUAUUUCUACAGUCAUGCUUCUAAAGAUUGUAUGGUUUUAUUUUCACUAUAGAUUUGCUUGAGUAGUUCUGUAACUUCUAGAAUAGAUCAGUUAAGAGGUUUUACUCUUAGGCUUGUAUAAACUUACAACAUCUUUUAUUUGUAUUUUUGGAACAUUAGUUUUGUAUAGCUUUACUUUAGUUUCUGGAAACAAGAUUAAAUACGUAUGUUUGCAGUUUGUAAUUUACAGUAGUAUUUUUUGUGAAUUUGCUUCACUAGUUCUGUAAAAUGUCUAGAAUAGUUCACUUCUGGAAUGAAGAGUUAAUAUGUAUUAAUCAAUCUUCUAAUUUUACCUUUUCGCUUGUAUAGAUUUCCAGCUGUAGUAUUUUUGUUAUUUUUCUUCAGUAGUUUUGGAAAAUGGACUAAAUAUGAAAAGUUGGUUCUAAUUUAUUGUCAGUCUUUUUCUAUAGAUGUUACAGUUGCAUUUUUCUUAUUAGUUUUUGGCAAUUUUGCAAUGAGAAAGGUUUAACAACUGUAGUCUGUUCUGGUUUAUAAGGGCAUUGUAUCCAUGAGGAAAUUUGUUACUUAUUUCUAAAUACAUCUCUUACUGUUUAUCUGUAUGUUGCAGAGCAACUCACAUUGGUGUAGCUUAGAUGCAUUUUAAGAUAUGGCAUGAAGCUAGCUAAGGUCUUCUAUUAUUUCUAGCAGCAUGUGAUUGACUGAACAAGAGAAGGACUCCACUCACAUAUGAAGUGCUUGCAAGUUCUUUUUAAAAAAGCAAAGGACCAGCGGUGUAGCUAAGGGCUUUAAUUUAUUAGUACUCCAUUUGUUGCUUCUAAAACACUUGUAUGCACAGAUACUAGUUUCUCUUGGUUAUCAUAAGUGAACAUUCUUUAGAUAAAUUUCGCCUAGUUUUUUUAGUGGGGAAGGAAAGCUUCAUGAUAUUCCAUUUAAAACGCUGAUAUCUAUUUGAGAAUUAAUUUAUGUGCAUACCUCCUCGACCUAACAGUAUUUUUCUACUGUAUAGGAGAAAUCUUCUCAGUUUCUGAAUCCUGAGCAGUAGCAAGUCAGGUGCUUAAUGGUGAUCCUACCAUGCAUAUGGCAUAAGCAAGUUAGUUCUAAAAAGGUCAUUGUUAAUUUGCCCACAUCUAUCCUGCAAUUGCGACAACUUAGUGCGGUGAGAUUAGAGGACGGUCAUCAAUUUAAUCUACUUUGUGGCACUAAAGUAUAGAUGCUUUUCUCCGAUGCUUUUAUGAAUAUAAUAGUCAGAUGUAGUUUAAGUUCAGAUACUUUUUGACUUUUUGUUUGGUAUUUUGCAUGUCCUCAUGUGCUUAGUACUGCAUUUAGAAAUGAUUUCAGAUAGAUUCUUCUCAUUGAAAUUCAUUUCUAACGCAGGGAAAGUAUGUAUAACCUCCUGAUGUACGUGGGUUUUGAGAAUGCUUUUCCCAGGCCAUGCUGCACUCAUCAUUGAAACUUCUAGUUGUGUAUUAGAUAGUAAUCAUUUUUGCCUAAUGUAUUGCUGUCUAGUGCAGCAAAGUGCGGUCUUUCCACCCCAGAGAAGAAAAAGAAAGAGAACUAGUGCAGUCUUUUCUUCAAAAAUGACUUUCAUGUGUCCCUUGGUGGAUGUGUUGCUCCCAAUAAUUGGGUGUCUGGACAUGCUAAAUUGUUGCCUUGUGGCCAGAUGAUGCAUAUGCUCCUUUUCCAUUUAAUAUACUUCCUGGUCUGCGGAUUGAGGAGAUUCAUACAAGCUAUAUGGUGGGUCGGUGUGGCAUUCAUGCUUUAUUAUGUCUAACCCAUCACAGAUUCUAAUUAGAACAUGCCCUAUAUUUAUAAUACUAAAAUCCCAGUUUGUUUUUGCCAUUGGCGCUUUAUACAAUUAUCAUUUUUCCAUUAUCUCCAUGAAUGCGUGAAUUCACCGGUCACCCUUUUAUCCUUUGUAGGAAUGAAAUACAAGAGGACCAGGAAGUAAGCAUGAAGAUGGCAGUUUGUGUCAGGUAGGCAUUUUGUGUAAUGGGGCAAAAACAUUGUGUAUUUUAUCAUUUUGUAAACCUAUAUAGUGUCUUGUCAAUUGGGUAUUUUGUGUAAUGGAGCAAACAAUGAAACAUUGGACAUGCAUCUAUCAUUUUGUAACCAAUCAGUUGUCUUGGUGAUUGAAACAUAAAUGCUUCUUCCUUUCAGUUA